RNAcentral lists this ribosomal RNA (465 nucleotides) under Vreelandella stevensii. RNAcentral's name for it is "partial 16S ribosomal RNA". It matches the Rfam family "Bacterial small subunit ribosomal RNA", at positions 338 to 795 of the family's 1533-position model. The record is from RNAcentral. Lineage: Bacteria; Pseudomonadati; Pseudomonadota; Gammaproteobacteria; Oceanospirillales; Halomonadaceae.
CCUACUGGGGGCAGCAGUGGGGAAUAUUGGACAAUGGGGGCAACCCUGAUCCAGCCAUGCCGCGUGUGUGAAGAAGGCCCUCGGGUUGUAAAGCACUUUCAGUGAGGAAGAACGCCUGGUGGUUAAUAUCCAUCAGGAAAGACAUCACUCACAGAAGAAGCACCGGCUAACUCCGUGCCAGCAGCCGCGGUAAUACGGAGGGUGCGAGCGUUAAUCGGAAUUACUGGGCGUAAAGCGCGCGUAGGUGGCUUGAUAAGCCGGUUGUGAAAGCCCCGGGCUCAACCUGGGAACGGCAUCCGGAACUGUCAAGCUAGAGUGCAGGAGAGGAAGGUAGAAUUCCCGGUGUAGCGGUGAAAUGCGUAGAGAUCGGGAGGAAUACCAGUGGCGAAGGCGGCCUUCUGGACUGACACUGACACUGAGGUGCGAAAGCGUGGGUAGCAAACAGGAUUAGAUACCCUAGUAGUC